This is a non-coding RNA of Monodelphis domestica (gray short-tailed opossum), 73 nucleotides long. Lineage: Eukaryota; Metazoa; Chordata; Mammalia; Didelphimorphia; Didelphidae. The record is from Rfam.
AUCUGAGUGGCUCAGUGGACAGAGAGCUGGGCUUCAAGACCAGAGGUCGUAGGGUCGAAUCUGACCCCAGACU